Rattus norvegicus (Norway rat) is the source of this 2759-nucleotide RNA transcript. It is a transcript of the gene named centrosomal protein 63, with no coding region annotated. The transcript has 18 exons. Lineage: Eukaryota; Metazoa; Chordata; Mammalia; Rodentia; Muridae. The record is from RefSeq and is marked validated.
GCUGCGGCUUGUUGUGCGUUUGCGGCCCUGGCCACCGUGGUGCCGCUAACCUUCUGGCCGCAUGGCCCGGGGCCGCAGUUCGUUGCGGCCCACCUACCGCGGGGGCCUCCACUGCACGCCCACUGCUGUCCGGCCGCUGCGUCCCUGGGUUCCUCCGUCUCCUCCCUAUGGGGCUCUGAGCUGACCGGCCAGACUACAGCAAUGAAUUGGUGGCCUAGCAACCUCCAAAGAUGGAAAAACCGAAGUUCGACGACACAAAGCUGUUGCCAAAACAAAGGGGAUUUGGCGAUGGAGGCCUUGUUGGAAGGAAUACAAACUCGGGGGCAUAGUGGGGGAUUUUUGACAUCCUGUGAAGCAGAAUUGCAAGAGCUCAUGAAACAGAUCGAUAUAAUGGUGGCUCAUAAGAAAUCUGAGUGGGAGGGGCAGACACAUGCUCUGGAGACUUGUUUGGACAUGCGCGAUCGGGAGCUGAAGGCUCUGAGGAGUCAGCUGGACAUGAAGCACAAAGAGGUUGGAAUAUUGCAUCAGCAGAUAGAAGAACAAGAAAAAACCAAGCAAGAAAUGGCCCUGGAGUACAAGGAGGAGUUAAUGAAGCUGCAGGAGGAAUUAAGCAGACUGAAGAGAAGCUAUGAAAAACUGCAGAAAAAGCAACUAAGAGAAUUUAGAGGAAAUACCAAAAGUCUGCGAGAGGAUCGGUCUGAGAUUGAGAGGCUGACUGGAAAAAUAGAGGAAUUCCGACAGAAGUCUUUGGACUGGGAGAAGCAGCGUCUGAUUUAUCAGCAACAGGUAUCUUCUCUGGAAGCACAGAGGAAGGCUCUAGCUGAGCAGUCAGAGAUAAUCCAGGGAUCUGGUGGAAAACAAACUGCUUCCACCCUGAGGCCUUGAGCUUGAAUUUACAUAAAAUUAUUUGUCUGUGUCUUUGCCUCUCCCUUUUCAGGCUCAGCUUGCCAACCGGAAACAGAAAUUAGAGUCUGUGGAACUGUCUAGCCAGUCAGAAAUUCAGCACCUGAGCAGUAAGCUUGAGCGGGCUAAGGACACCAUCUGUGCCAAUGAGCUGGAAAUAGAGCGCCUUAAUAUAAGGGUCAAGGACCUGAUGGGAACCAACGUGACUAUCCUGCAGGAGCAGCGGCAAAAGGAGGAGAAACUGAGGGAGUCUGAAAAGUUACUAGAGGCUCUGCAGGAAGAACAGAAAGAGUUGAAGGCAAGUCUUCAAGCUCAAGAAAGCUUCAUUCUUGAUGCAAAAAUGCAGGAGAAACUGCAAACGAAACUAAAGGCAGUUGACACUAAGCACUCAGUAGAAAGGUCUCUGGAGGACUGUCAGGUGGAGAGGAAGUACAGCUCUUCAGGGCAGGGAGUCUUGGAUAAUGUGCUCUCCCAGUUGGACAUAAGCCACAGCAGUGAAGAACUCCUACAGGCAGAGGUGACUCGUCUUGAAGGCAGUUUGGAAUCUGUGAGUACAACAUGUAAACAGCUGAGCCAAGAACUGAUGGAGAAGUACGAAGAGCUGAAGAGGAUGGAAGGGCAUAACAAUGAGUACCGGACAGAGAUAAAGAAGCUGAAGGAACAGAUUCUGCAGGCUGAUCAGACUUACAGCUCUGCCCUGGAAGGAAUGAAGACGGAAAUCUCCCAGCUAACCCGGGAGUUGCACCAGCGAGAUAUCACUAUUGCUUCUGCCAAGUGUUCCUCCUCAGACAUGGAAAGGCAGCUGAAGGCAGAGAUGCAGAAGGCGGAAGAAAAGGCCGUAGAGCAUAAGGAGAUUCUGAGUCAGCUGGAAUCUCUCAGAUUAGAAAAUCGCCGUCUCUCUGAAACAGUGAUGAAGCUGGAACUGGGCUUGCACGAGGCAAAAGAGAUUUCACUAGCAGACCUUCAGGAGAAUUAUAUUGAGGCAUUAAAUAAAUUAGUGUCUGAAAAUCAACAACUACAGAAAGAUCUGAUGAGCACCAAAUCUCAGCUGGAGCAUGCUACUCACAUGUGCAAAAAAAAAGAUGGCAGGAUCUUUAACCCAGCACACAGCAGAACAGUCGGGUUCAAGAAUGCAGAACUUAAGCCAACCCAUGGCCAGCACAGACAUGAUGGAAUAAAGACUGAGCAGUACAAAACAGGUCACCACUCGCCUCGAGGACAAACGUUGGAUAGCAUAGACCCCGUGGCCAGGGGCCCCAGCCCCCUGAGUUGUCACAUCAGCCCCGGCAGCUCCACCAUCUCUCUGCCUUCCAACUCUGUAUGUCAGGCUCGCUCUUUGCCUUCAAUGCUAGAUAUAAAUGAUGCCAACUUUUCUGACAAUCUGUCUGACUGUGCGAAUGACCAAGAAGAGUUUGUAUCUUCGUGCUCGAUGCCCGUCUCUCCACUGGGAUUGAUAGCUACCAGGUUUCUAGAAGAGGAGGAGCUGAGGUCUCACCACAUUCUAGAGCGCCUGGACGCCCACAUUGAAGAACUGAAAAGAGAGAGUGAGAAGACGGUGAGGCAGUUCACAGCCCUCGUGUAGUGCUGAGCAGCCACACACAGAAGACUGGUUCUAAAGAUCUAAGAGCAAUGGCUGCAAGAGCAGCACUGAGGAAUCUGCAGAUCGGGCACUUAGGUAUUUUCACUGGCUCAUUUGAAGGACUGCUUCCAGUAGUAACCUGUGAGAAUAAACUACCUUGCAGACUUUCUCACAUGAAUAUUUAUUACCACAGAGCAAUACCUUUUCUUCCUGACUUACAUGUGAAUAGCUGUGUACUAAUUAAAAUAAAGAUUUUGCUAUACUGUUUGAAAAUAAA